GCGAGAAUAGCUCAGCUGGUAGAGCGCAACCUUGCCAAGGUUGAGGUCGCGGGUUCGAAUCCCGUCUUCCGCU
RNAcentral lists this transfer RNA (73 nucleotides) under SAR324 cluster bacterium. Its description in RNAcentral is "tRNA-Gly". It matches the Rfam family "tRNA". From Rfam's summary of the family: Transfer RNA (tRNA) molecules are approximately 80 nucleotides in length. Their secondary structure includes four short double-helical elements and three loops (D, anti-codon, and T loops). The record is from RNAcentral. Lineage: Bacteria; Deltaproteobacteria.